Molecule: ribosomal RNA, 276 nt
Filed under: uncultured bacterium
Lineage: Bacteria
Description: partial 16S ribosomal RNA
Rfam family: Bacterial small subunit ribosomal RNA
Source: RNAcentral
UCUAAGUUUGAUGGCGACCGGCGCACGGGUGAGUAACACGUAUCCAACCUGCCGAUGACUCGGGGAUAGCCUUUCGAAAGAAGGAUUAAUACCCGAUAGCAUAAUGAUUCCGCAUGGUUUCAUUAUUAAAGGAUUCCGGUAAAGGAUGGGGAUGCGUUCCAUUAGGUUGUUGGUGGGGUAACGGCCCACCAAGCCUUCGAUGGAUAGGGGUUCUGAGAGGAAGGUCCCCCACAUUGGAACUGAGACACGGUCCAAACUCCUACGGGAGGCAGCAUG